GAAAACAAUGGUGGUUCUGACAAGUGUGAAGGCCAGUGAACCAUGCAUGUUGUUAAUGUGAGUUUCACUGUGUAUUUUAUUUGGCAAUGAUGAAACUACCAAGUGUAAUUCUAAAUCAUGUUUUUAUGCCACCGUUAAUGUGUUUGUUUCAUAACAUGGGAUUGCCUUUGUAUCUGAAUAAAUAUUUUGUUUGCUCAAGUGUUAAACCUACCGAUAGGCAGUGUAUGACUGUUUGUGUUUGACUUUGCAGGAUUGUCUGAAUUUGUCUUUGAUAAAUGUUUGUGAUUGUGUAUAUGUGUUUCUUUGUGCAUAAAAGUUGGUGUUGCUGCCUGAAUGAUUUUGAAUGUAUUUAUGUGAAGGAAUCUGCAGCCUUGUCCCUGUUCAUACGUUGUGUUUAUCCAUGUGUCCUUGCAAUGAGUAGUCUUUUUGUUUGUUUCACUGCUCUUUUCGUCUAGAUUCCAGUUCUACCUCUUUAUGAAUUUGCUCUAUUGUUUUCGGUCCCUGGGAUUUAUGUCGAGGUACCCAGUUAUUUUUUCUUAAUUCCAUCAUAUCCUGCACCAAAAAUCGAAUCCGCGAAGAGGUUUUCUGGUUUUUAAUAAAGAUGUCAAUCUUGCUGAUAUAGUUGUCCAAGCGACACUGUCCAUUUUCCAAGGAUUUUCCAGUUGUAGUGAGCAAAAUGCAGAUACAUUCCAAUGACUCCUCGCUGUUCCUGUUUAGUAGUUUCAUUAGGCAGUCUUUCAUGGUGUCCUCAG
This is a non-coding RNA of Pelobates cultripes (western spadefoot toad), 752 nucleotides long. The record is from the annotation of a GenBank genome assembly. NCBI's taxonomy places the organism in Eukaryota, Metazoa, Chordata, Amphibia, Anura, Pelobatidae.